Saccostrea cuccullata (small rock oyster) is the source of this 197-nucleotide long non-coding RNA. RefSeq lists it as uncharacterized. Lineage: Eukaryota; Metazoa; Mollusca; Bivalvia; Ostreida; Ostreidae. The transcript is spliced from 2 exons. The record is from RefSeq and is a predicted model, not a curated record.
AUGGUGAAAUAACGUCGUCAUUGGGACCACCAAUCAGGAUUAGCUCCUUAAUCCGCAAGAAAUUUCGUUUGUAUUCUGAGAAAGAAAAAAUACGUCUCUGUCGAGACUGUAGCUCUACUGGUUUGUACUUAUAACAAAGGAUGAGAAAAGAAGCCAUUGCCAUCAGACCAAAACUGUAGAAAGAGUAGCGUUUUAAA